Molecule: long non-coding RNA, 1436 nt
Filed under: Heterocephalus glaber (naked mole-rat)
Lineage: Eukaryota; Metazoa; Chordata; Mammalia; Rodentia; Bathyergidae
Description: lncRNA (ENSHGLG00000045106.1)
Source: RNAcentral
CUCCUGGGAGGAAAGGGGCAGGUCUCCCUUACGCUCUCGUUGUCUCUACGCCUCGCCGUUCUUGGUGCAGAGGACUCGGGAGGGCUGCGUUAAUGAGACAAGACGUUGCCUCUGCUCUGUGACCAUGAAACUGUUUGACCCAUAGACCCUGGACGCCCGGGGUCUCACAGACCGGGCACUGUGAGGUCACAGGCGGCCUGACGCUGGGCCGCCUUCCUGGAGAGGGAGCCGAGCGCCCGUGCCCUCCGGAGAGAGAGGUCCCUCUGGCCCUCGUCUCCAACUCGGGCCGGCUUUCUGUGCCUUUAACACUUGCAAAAUGUCCAGGAAGCAAGGCUUAUUUAGAAUACAGUAGAAUUUGAAGGGGCAAGACUUUUCAGAAGUGGGCAGAGGGUCUGAGAAACUUAGAAAAGGAAAAGCAAUUAACAGGUUCUCUCCUUUCGUCCUGCCCGCGGGGACCUGAGCACCUGACAAGUGGCCAGUCCGAAGGCUUAGUAUGAAAAUAACGAAAAUGUCUCGCUAACAAUUUUUACAUCGAUUACAUGUUGAGAUAAUAUAUUGAUAUAUUAGAUGAAAAUAUAUUGAAAUUGUACUUUGAAAAUAUAGCUAUCAGAAAAAAUUUCAAUUGCACGUAUGACUCGCAUUAGUUUUCUUUUGGACGGCAGUGCUCUUUUUGUGGUUAAGUGAGUUUGUUUAGAUACUGAGGAUUUAUGGGUCCUGCAAAAUGUCUGUAGUGCUAUUUGCCAUCACUAGAUGGCUGCCUCAUUCAACAGACUAGUUUUAUAUUUCCAUCUAACAACUACCAAGAAUUCCACAUAUUUUCAGAGAUUCGAUCGACUUUUUCUGUAACACUGACUGUAAACACAAACCUGAAGUAAAGGCCCUGAGCUUAAAAAGUUGGUUGUAUUCCUGUGGUCCAAGGACAUUAUCAUCAUUGGUUCGGAUUGAACUCAGGACCUUGCGCUUGUGGAGCGGCCGUGGUGCUAUUGAGCUAAACCCCCAGCCCUAUUUAAAAAUAUUUCUUCAUUGUUCAAGUUGUAGAAGUAAAGAUGGCUGCUUAGACCUUGUGAAGGAAUAGCAGACCAGUUCCAAGCAUGAUGCAGCUGCAGUAUUACAGGACCAAGACUCUGUGAGUUAAAGAAACAGGAUGAACACAGGAAUGAAAGCCAAGCAGCAAGCUGUCAAGUCACAGAGGAGAGAGUCAGAGACAGGCCAAGCCAGGAAGUAGGAUCAGUUAAGAGUGCUAGAGAGGGUGCAAAGGACCCUGAAGAGAAUCCUCAUGUCCUGGAACACUCAGCCUGAUCUGAAAAACAGUCUUCCCCCAGUGUAGCUGCAGAGAAGGGGGGUGAUUGUGGACAUUUACCACCCAUACUAGAUGGAUCCAGCCUGGGUUAAGGUGACUAUUCUGACUCCUUCCAGUCCCUCACACCUCUUCAUCU